RNAcentral lists this long non-coding RNA (1229 nucleotides) under Ursus maritimus (polar bear). RNAcentral's name for it is "lncRNA (ENSUMAG00000011091.1)". Lineage: Eukaryota; Metazoa; Chordata; Mammalia; Carnivora; Ursidae. The record is from RNAcentral.
AUUUCAUAUGCAUUUACCUUUCAACAUAAUAAAAGCCCUUUUAGAAAUCUUACAGAAAUGAAGAAUGCCCUGAAAGGCUCACCAGUAGAUUUAAGAGAUAUAAGGAAAGAAUUUUCUGUAGAACAUAUAUAAGGGUUAGUUAACAUAAAGAUAGGCCACUAGAAAUUACAUAAACUGUAAUGGAAGGACUAGAGAGAGACAGAGACAGAGACAGAGAGAGAGGGGGGAGGUUGGAGAGAGAAGCAGAUAAUCGUUAACUCCUGGAAGAAGAAAAGUGUAAGAACUCUCCCCGUCUCCUUCUCCCACUCUCUGAUUUGAACCAAUGAAAACUGUAGUCCUUUAAUAAGAAAUGGCUUCUUUACACUAAUUAUCAAUUGAUGGUAACAAUUACACGGUGAUGAGAGGCAUUUGCUGACAAAGGGAGCAUGUAGCCCUAUUUUGCAGGAUGUUUUAGGGUAAAUACUGUGGGCUCCUUCCUCUGCAGUCUAUGGGUCUUAGCUGUGUGUGCAGAGCACCACUUCCUCUCACUAAAUCAGCCCUCAGGUUUGCUCUGUGAUCAGCCCAGUAUUCAACCACCUCUCCUGACAAGACCUGGCACGAUGCUGCUCCCGACACAGGUCAUCCUGGUGGCCUCCCUGUGGAGCUAUACAAAGGCAGACAUUUUAAUAACGCAACUCAUACCAUCCAUUACCAAGAAACAAGGAAACACAGCAUUUUUAGAAUGCCAAAUAAAAACAGGUGGCUUAAGGAAUAAUGUGUAUAUUCACUGGUACCGACAGAAGCCAGACCAGCCUCUAAAACGAAUUCUGUAUAUUUCUUCAAAUGAAAAUGUGGUCCACGAACAAGAGGUUGAUGAGGAAAGAUAUGAAGCCAGGAAGCGGCAGAGGGAUUUGCCAUCGAGUCUCAGGAUACACCGAGUUGAAGAGGCAGAUGCUGGGCUGUAUUACUGCGCCUGCUGGGAUACACUGUGUGGAAAUGCUCCCCGGCCACUGAACAAAAACCCUCCCACAGCUCCACACCCCUGCAAACACAUGCAUGCUCCUUCCUACCUGCCAGAGGGACCUGGCUAUUGUCUCUACCAGGCUUUUCUUCUGUGUCUGUGUCCUCAGCAAGUUCUGAGCUAGGAGCCCAAGCACCCAAUCUGUGAUGUUUUUUUCAGUUAGGUCACUUUAUCUUCUAUUUACCCCCCUGGGGCCUCAGUUGGCUUUUGUUAGUGACCUCACUGGUGU